AUCCAAUGACGAGUCCCAAAUAGGACUAAAUGCGCGUUAUCCUGGAU
This 47-nucleotide non-coding RNA is filed under the name Trichobilharzia regenti. The record is from RNAcentral. Lineage: Eukaryota; Metazoa; Platyhelminthes; Trematoda; Strigeidida; Schistosomatidae.